This is a long non-coding RNA of Mytilus californianus (California mussel), 1036 nucleotides long. RefSeq lists it as uncharacterized. The transcript has 3 exons. The record is from RefSeq and is a predicted model, not a curated record. Lineage: Eukaryota; Metazoa; Mollusca; Bivalvia; Mytilida; Mytilidae.
AAAAUACACCAGGAAAUUAUUACUUACAUUAUAUGUAUAUUACCACAGUUGGAAACUUUCUAAUCACCAUAAGAUAGUAUACUGGAAUAUAUUCAUUAAAAUGAGAUUUUUGCUUCUGGCUGUUAUUCACUGCGCAUUUGCAGAAGACACAUUUGGUGAAAUUAUCCGGUCCAACGUAUCAACACAUACGUAUAUUGGAGAAACAGUUGUUUUGGCAUGCAACUUUACAUAUGGUGCUUCAAAUUACAGAUGGCGUCGCUUGAAACAAAUUAUUGCAAAAGAAUCGGACGUUAACUUGCGGAACCCUAAACGCCGACGUUAUGAUAUUGUUGGACGACUAAAGAAUGAUGAAUACAAUCUUCAAAUAUCUGAUGUGAUACUAUCUGAUUCUGGUCUUUAUUGGUGUGAAAUGAAUAUGGGUGGACCGAUUACGAAGCAAUUAUUCACAUUGUACAUAUCAGGCAAGUUAAAUAGAAAUAUGUUUCCGAAUGGUAAAAUGUCUACCAAAAUUUAAAAAUCUAAGCUUCAAUUCAAAUUUGCAAAGCAUUGUUAAGUGGAAUUGAUAUUCUCAAAUUUUUCUUCAUUUGUUAUUGAAAAUAUUCAACGAGUGACCGAACAACACAGUAAUUGCAUAGCGCAUAAGUUAAUCAUCAGUGUUGUUCGGUCAGGAGUUGAAUAUUUGUCUAUAUUUCAAUUCUUGGAUUAGUUAUUCUUUUCAUAACAUUGACCAUGAACUUACAAUGUAUAUAAAUUGAAAUAAAGUACAAAUUAGAAGGAACUAUAUUUUUUUCUACGCGUUCUCGAUUCGUUUUGAUGCAAUGUCAUCGACAAUGUCUUGACAACGCCCGUUGUUGUAUGACGUCACAUUAGUGAAAUUGUUGGAUUUAUUUCACAUGUGAAAUUAUUGGUUUUUAUUUCACUGGGAAAUCAUGGUAUUUGAUUGCAACCAAUGUAAUAACUUUUAAUAACUCGCCCCUAUUAUUUCUCUUUUAAGGCAGUCGGUUCAGUUCUUUCAGUUAGUAUUUACUAAGAUGUU